RNAcentral lists this ribosomal RNA (465 nucleotides) under uncultured Klebsiella sp. RNAcentral describes it as "bacterial SSU rRNA". It matches the Rfam family "Bacterial small subunit ribosomal RNA", at positions 338 to 795 of the family's 1533-position model. Lineage: Bacteria; Pseudomonadati; Pseudomonadota; Gammaproteobacteria; Enterobacterales; Enterobacteriaceae. The record is from RNAcentral.
CCUACGGGAGGCUGCAGUGGGGAAUAUUGCACAAUGGGCGCAAGCCUGAUGCAGCCAUGCCGCGUGUGUGAAGAAGGCCUUCGGGUUGUAAAGCACUUUCAGCCGGGAGGAAGGCGGUGAGGUUAAUAACCCCAUCGAUUGACGUUACCCGCAGAAGAAGCACCGGCUAACUCCGUGCCAGCAGCCGCGGUAAUACGGAGGGUGCAAGCGUUAAUCGGAAUUACUGGGCGUAAAGCGCACGCAGGCGGUCUGUCAAGUCGGAUGUGAAAUCCCCGGGCUCAACCUGGGAACUGCAUUCGAAACUGGCAGGCUAGAGUCUUGUAGAGGGGGGUAGAAUUCCAGGUGUAGCGGUGAAAUGCGUAGAGAUCUGGAGGAAUACCGGUGGCGAAGGCGGCCCCCUGGACAAAGACUGACGCUCAGGUGCGAAAGCGUGGGGAGCAAACAGGAUUAGAUACCCGAGUAGUC